GAUAAACGCUGGCGGCGUGCCUUAUGCAUGCAAGUCGAACGGUCAAUCGCAAGAAAGAUAGUGGCAAACGGGUGAGUAAUACGUAAGUGACCUGUCCUUAAGUGGGGAAUAACCCGCCGAAAGGUGGACUAAUACCGCGUAAUGUGAUGAGGGUGAUGCUUCAUCAAGAAAGCCGUAAGGCGCUUUUGGAGGGGCUUGCGUCCGAUUAGCUAGUUGGUAGGGUAACAGCCUACCAAGGCGAGGAUCGGUAGCUGGUCUGAGAGGACGACCAGCCACACUGGGACUGAGACACGGCCCAGACUCCUACGGGAGGCAG
RNAcentral lists this ribosomal RNA (316 nucleotides) under uncultured Chloroflexota bacterium. RNAcentral describes it as "bacterial SSU rRNA". It matches the Rfam family "Bacterial small subunit ribosomal RNA", at positions 28 to 351 of the family's 1533-position model. The record is from RNAcentral. Lineage: Bacteria; Bacillati; Chloroflexota.